RNAcentral lists this long non-coding RNA (3585 nucleotides) under Medicago truncatula (barrel medic). RNAcentral describes it as "long non-coding RNA (MTRU_LNC005786)". Lineage: Eukaryota; Viridiplantae; Streptophyta; Magnoliopsida; Fabales; Fabaceae. The record is from RNAcentral.
AAGUAAGGGUUGCAGAGAUGAGGAUGUUGCAGUGGAUGUGUGGUAACUGGUAAGACUAGACGGGAUAGGAUUAGAAACAACAACAUUAGAGAGAGCAUUCGGGUAACACCUACAGUAGAAAUGAUGGUAGAAAUUACUAGGCUUAGGUGGUUUGGGCAUGUAUAGAGAAGACCUGUAGAUUUUGUAGUAAGGAGGGUAGUCAAAUCACUAGAAGCAGAGGAAGGCUUAGAAACACUAUAAGAGAAACUAUUAAGAAAGAUCUAGAGAUUAAUGAGCUGGAUAGAAAUAUGGCCUGUGAUAGAACAUAAUGGCGUCGUUUGAUCCAUGUACCCGACCCCACUUAGUGUACUAAGGCUUGUUGUUGUUGUUGACAAAACAAUAGUUCAUGCUGCAGUGAGCUUUGAAAACCACAAUUAAACAGAAACAUGUUUUUCUACAAAAAAGACCAUUGGAAAGAAACAGAGGGAACAAUAAUUUAGUUAAAGAGCCUGUAACUUGGGCUUUGUUUGCGAGUUUGGAGGGGAGGGGAAGGGAAGGCUUUGAGGAGUGGAAAAUAUGAGGGAAAAUGGAGAAAUCUUUCAAUUUUUUUUAAAAGAGUAGAGUCUUUUAGAGAAUGAUAAAUUAAUGCAUAUGAUUACUAUAUUUUUAAUUUUUAAAAUAAUAGAACAACAUAGAUUAAAUUUGAAGAGUUCAUAUAAACCGUCCAAAACCCUCCUCCAAUACAAUUUUUUAGUUCCCCCAAAUGAGGAGGGUUUAGUAUUAUGAAGAAAACGUAACCCCCCAAAGCCCUCCCCUCCCAUUUUCCUCUAUUUCUUCCACUUGCUCGUUCCUUUUUUUCCCAAGCCUUCCCCUCCCUUCCCCUCCAAACUCGCAAACAAAGCCUUGGUGGUUCGAUAUUAUCAUACUAACCUUAUUGCAUAACUGAAACUGCAGUCCUUGGUUAACGCAUACACUGAAUGCAGCAUAUGUGUUAUUGUUCAAAAGAGAAGAUUGGCCUCCAAAAGUUUUCUUCGGCAGUCUCUCCUUCCUCCGUUAACAGAUUCUGAGCUCGGUGCUGGCAAACCAAAUUCCUCAUAUUUUUUAGCUCAUUCAUUUUCUAUUCCUACAUUCUUGCAUCUGAAUCAGUUCAGUCAUUUUUUCUUUCUUCACUUUUUCUAUAGUGUUGUUCUAACGAUCUGCAGAAUCAAGGCACUCAUUGGCAACCUCUAUGUUCCUACAAACCCUCAAGUUGAACCGUCGAGGUAGAAGACGAUCCUUUGUUUUUGAUCCAUUACUAUUGCAGCUCCAUGUGCAGUGCAAUAUUGUGAGGUACAUGUGCAUUUCUAAACUUCUUUUGUUUUUGUGUUUAGGGUGCGCGCUUAUGUUUUUGUAGAUGAAUGGAAAUUGUUUUUGGAAAUUCAUAUCUGCUGAGGUUUGAAUGUUUAAAUAAAAUUUGAAGGCAGGCAGUUUAAGGAUCGAUAUUUGUCUUAAGCUCUGAUUGAAGUAGCAGUUUUUUUAUUUUCUUCGAAUUAAGAAAAAAAAGUGUGUUAAAUAUUUGUGAAACAACUGCCACUGGAAUUUCGAAAAUAUUGAAGUUGUUUGAGCUUGUUGAUUUGAGACACGUGAUCAAAUAACUCUGGCCUUAAAAUUGAUUGUUAAACUAACUGAGAAACAUACAAGUGUAUAAAUCUAGGUACAGGUAUCAAAGUUGAGCUACCUUGCUUAUGGAACCGUUUUACUGUAAACUCUAUUAGAUUUAGACAUAUAGAAUCAUGAGUUUUAGGAUAUGACUGAAUGAGUCUAUACCAUAAUGGUCAUUUUCUUGGGACAUGCCAAUAAUGACAAUGAUUUACAUGUUUUUUAUAAAACUCAAAAUGCAAAAGCUGAAUGUUAAGGUUUCUUAAAUGCGUAAACAUAAAUCUCAUAUUUGUAGCAUUGAGCUCCACCGAUGCAUCUAAUAUGUGCUUAUGGUGCUCUAGCUUUGUUUCUCACUCUAUUAUGCACCAUCCUUAUAAUAUAAUGCAAAACCUCUAGGCUUAUUCUUGGUUGGCCCAAGUUGGUUUUCUGAAUUGCACAGAAAAAUUGCUUUUCGCUUGAGUUUACGGUGCUCAUUAAAGAAGCCUUGCAAAGUUUCACACAUGCUUAAUUAUUUUUGAACUCUUAAGAUUGAUAAAAUGCAUUAAGUGCAGAAUUUGAAUUGCAUAAAGUAAACCAUGUCGGAUCCAUUCUACAUCUCGAGUUGAGCCGCCUUGAUAAUUUCUUUGAGAUCCUAAUUGCUUCAAGUUGUAUUAUCUCACUAUUGAGUGUUAUCUCUCUUUUGUUAUUGUGGUUUUUCUGUAGAGGGUGAUCGGUGUGGUAUCCAUUUUUAUUGGGUAGGUUGAGGUAUCCCUAUUUCCGUGUGAUUUUUAGGAUGAAAUAUACUUGAGGUUGUACUCGAGCGUGCUGUAAUAUGUUAGUUAUAGUCGUAGGAAAUCUUAGACGUUGUUUGGGGACAGGACGUAGGUCUCAAGUGUUUGGUGAUUGAACUAGGAUAAAUCAAACUGCACUAUGCUCUAACAUUUAUCUCUUAUUUACUAAAUUCUUGUUUUGAAUUUUACGUAUAUAUUUGUUUGUGAAAGUUGUGGUUUUUUGAGUACCUAUUGUUAUCAUUAGUUCAGUCAUUUCUUCAAAUUAAUAGUUUUUAAUUUUCUAACACGAGUAUCCUUCACAUAUUUUGGGAAUACAGCAUUGAGAGAAAUUGACUAAAAUGAAGAUAAACAGAACAUGCUAUAAAUAAUAAAAAUGUGGAGAAGGUGAUUGAUGUUGUGCUUGUUAGUUGUUACUAUAUUCCUGAUGAGUGAUAACAUUGGUAUCCUUUGAUACACGUGAUCAAAUAAUUUCUGCCUUGAACUUCGUUGUCAAACUCACUGAGAAUCGUAUGAGUAUAUAAAUUUAGGUAAUAUGUAUCAAAAUUGACGUAAGUUGCUUAAGAAGUAGUUUCUUCGUAAACUUGGUAGAUUCGUAUAAACUUAUAGAAUCACGCGUUUGAGGAUGACUGAAUAAGUCUAUAAUGUAAUGGUAAUUUUCUUAGGAAAUGACUAUAAUGACAGUGGUUCAGUGAUUUUUAAAAACCUAAAAAUAACAGCUGAAUAAUAAGGUUCUUUAGUGCUUACAACAUUAAUCUCUACAGAUGCAUCUUAUGUCCCAAGUGAACCCUGUAACUGGACUCGAUCUUGAAAUCGAUGUUUUAAUUAUAUGCUUAUAAAAGGCUCUAGCUCUGUUUGCACCAUCCUUAAGUUGCCUCAAGUUGUUUUUCAAAUUGCAUAAAGAAAUUAAUUUUCACUUCAGUUAACUCAGCUUAUAAAACACUAAAGAAGCGUUGUAAAGUUACUUAUGUGUUUAGAAAGUUUUUUGAGCAUGCAUAAUUUGAAUUGCUUAACGUAAACCAUGUUUGAUCUAUUCUACAUCUCUUGAGCCUCCUUGAUAAGUUUUCUGAUGUCGCAAGUGCUUCAAGGUGUUCAAAUAAUGCAGAAGUAUCUCUGUGAUGAAGAUGUUGAAAUUCCAAUAAUUAUUGUCCUGAUGACACAUAUACAUCCUUGGUAUAAUAUUUAAAUGUUCUGUCUGUAG